RNAcentral lists this ribosomal RNA (493 nucleotides) under uncultured bacterium. RNAcentral's name for it is "bacterial SSU rRNA". It matches the Rfam family "Bacterial small subunit ribosomal RNA", at positions 903 to 1397 of the family's 1533-position model. The record is from RNAcentral.
AAAUGAAUUGACGGGGGCCCGCACAAGCGGUGGAGCAUGUGGCUUAAUUCGAGGCAACGCGAAGAACCUUACCUGGGCUUGAAAUAUAGUGGACAGUCUGUGAAAGCAGAUCUCUCUUCGGAGUCAUUAUACAGGUGCUGCAUGGCUGUCGUCAGCUCGUGCCGUGAGGUGUUCGGUUAAGUCCGACAACGAGCGCAACCCGUAUCAUCAGUUGCCAGCAAGUAAAGUUGGGGACUCUGGUGAGACUGCCUGUGUAAGCAGGAGGAAGGCGCGGAUGACGUCAAGUCAGUAUGGCCCUUACGCCCAGGGCUGCACACGUGCUACAAUGGGGGGUACAAUGAGAAGCAAUACCGCGAGGUGGAGCAAAUCUACAAAACCUCUCUUAGUUCGGAUUGUAGUCUGCAACUCGACUACAUGAAGUUGGAAUCGCUAGUAAAGGCGUAUCAGCUACGACGCCUUGAAUACGUUCCCGGGCCUUGUACACACCGCCCGU